Molecule: ribosomal RNA, 547 nt
Filed under: uncultured bacterium
Lineage: Bacteria
Description: bacterial SSU rRNA
Rfam family: Bacterial small subunit ribosomal RNA
Source: RNAcentral
UGGGGAAUAUUGCGCAAUGGGGGGAACCCUGACGCAGCCAUGCCGCGUGAAUGAAGAAGGCCUUAGGGUUGUAAAGUUCUUUCGGUAUUGAGGAAGGUUGAUGUGUUAAUAGCACAUCAAAUUGACGUUAAAUACAGAAGAAGCACCGGCUAACUCCGUGCCAGCAGCCGCGGUAAUACGGAGGGUGCGAGCGUUAAUCGGAAUAACUGGGCGUAAAGGGCACGCAGGCGGUUAUUUAAGUGAGGUGUGAAAGCCCCGGGCUUAACCUGGGAAUUGCACUUCAGACUGGGUAACUAGAGUACUUUAGGGAGGGGUAGAAUUCCACGUGUAGCGGUGAAAUGCGUAGAGAUGUGGAGGAAUACCGAAGGCGAAGGCAGCCCCUUGGGAAUGUACUGACGCUCAUGUGCGAAAGCGUGGGGAGCAAACAGGAUUAGAUACCCUGGUAGUCCACGCUGUAAACGCUGUCGAUUUGGGGGUUGGGGUUUAACUCUGGCGCCCGUAGCUAACGUGAUAAAUCGACCGCCUGGGGAGUACGGCCGCAAGGUUA